ACGGUUCUAAUGUAAUGGCAGCAUGAUAGUCUCCAAAACUGUCAGUCUUCGUUCGAGUCGAAGGAGCCGUG
Molecule: transfer RNA, 71 nt
Filed under: Niastella yeongjuensis
Lineage: Bacteria; Pseudomonadati; Bacteroidota; Chitinophagia; Chitinophagales; Chitinophagaceae
Rfam family: tRNA
About the family: Transfer RNA (tRNA) molecules are approximately 80 nucleotides in length. Their secondary structure includes four short double-helical elements and three loops (D, anti-codon, and T loops). Further hydrogen bonds mediate the characteristic L-shaped molecular structure. tRNAs have two regions of fundamental functional importance: the anti-codon, which is responsible for specific mRNA codon recognition, and the 3' end, to which the tRNAs corresponding amino acid is attached (by aminoacyl-tRNA synthetases). tRNAs cope with the degeneracy of the genetic code in two manners: having more than one tRNA (with a specific anti-codon) for a particular amino acid; and 'wobble' base-pairing, i.e. permitting non-standard base-pairing at the 3rd anti-codon position.
Source: Rfam by way of RNAcentral